This 433-nucleotide ribosomal RNA is filed under the name uncultured bacterium. Its description in RNAcentral is "partial 16S ribosomal RNA". It matches the Rfam family "Bacterial small subunit ribosomal RNA", at positions 29 to 507 of the family's 1533-position model. The record is from RNAcentral.
AACGAACGCUGGCGGCAUGCCUAACACAUGCAAGUCGAACGAGACCUUCGGGUCUAGUGGCGCACGGGUGCGUAACGCGUGGGAACCUGCCCUUAGGUUCGGAAUAACUCCCCGAAAGGGGUGCUAAUACCGGAUAAUGUCUUCGGACCAAAGAUUUAUCGCCUUUGGAUGGGCCCGCGUUGGAUUAGCUAGUUGGUAGGGUAAAAGCCUACCAAGGCGACGAUCCAUAGCUGGUCUGAGGGGAUGAUCAGCCACACUGGGACUGAGACACGGCCCAGACUCCUACGGGAGGCAGCAGUGGGGAAUAUUGGACAAUGGGCGAAGGCCUGAUCCAGCAAGGCCGCGUGAGUGAUGAAGGCCUUAGGGUUGUAAAGCUCUUUUACCCGGGAUGAUAAUGACAGUACCGGGAGAAUAAGCUCCGGCUAACUCCGUG